GUAACUACGGGAAACUGUAGCUAAUACCGCGUAGAAUCGAGAGAUGAAAGUGUGGGACCUUCGGGCCACAUGCCAUAGGAUGAGCCCAAGUGGGAUUAGGUAGUUGGUGAGGUAAAGGCUCACCAAGCCGACGAUCUCUAGCUGGUCUGAGAGGAUGACCAGCCACACUGGGACUGAGACACGGCCCAG
This 189-nucleotide ribosomal RNA is filed under the name uncultured Pasteurellales bacterium. RNAcentral's name for it is "partial 16S ribosomal RNA". It matches the Rfam family "Bacterial small subunit ribosomal RNA", at positions 143 to 334 of the family's 1533-position model. The record is from RNAcentral. Lineage: Bacteria; Pseudomonadati; Pseudomonadota; Gammaproteobacteria; Pasteurellales.